GAGAAAUUUGGAUUAAUGCCCCAUAGUAUUAUGAAAUAGCAUUAUUUUAUAAUUAAACAUUUAUGGCUACAAGAUGAGUAUGCGUUCUAUUAGUUAGUAGGUAAGGUAACGGCUUACCUAGACUUCGAUAGAUAGGGGUCCUGAGAGGGAGAUCCCCCACACUGGUACUGAGACACGGACCAGACUCCUACGGGAGGCAGCAGUGAGGAAUAUUGGACAAUGGGCGAGAGCCUGAUCCAGCCAUGCCGCGUGCAGGAAGACGGCCCUAUGGGUUGUAAACUGCUUUUAUAGAGGAAGAAACACUCCCACGUGUGGGAGCUUGACGGUACUCUACGAAUAAGGAUCGGCUAACUCCGUGCCAGCAGCCGCGGUAAUACGGAGGAUCCAAGCGUUAUCCGGAAUCAUUGGGUUUAAAGGGUCCGUAGGCGGGACAAUCAGUCAGCGGUGAAAGUCUGUGGCUCAACCAUAGAAUUGCCAUUGAUACUGUUGUUCUUGAAUACUUAUGAAGUGGUUGGAAUAUGUAGUGUAGCGGUGAAAUGCAUAGAUAUUACAUAGAACACCGAUUGCGAAGGCAGAUCACUAAUAAGUCAUUGACGCUGAUGGACGAAAGCGUAGGUAGCGAACAGGAUUAGAUACCCUGGUAGUCUACGCCGUAAACGAUGGUUACUAGCUGUUCGGUCGCAAGACUGAGUGGCUAAGCGAAAGUGAUAAGUAACCCACCUGGGGAGUACGUUCGCAAGAAUGAAACUCAAA
This 753-nucleotide ribosomal RNA is filed under the name Gillisia sp. COL-40. Its description in RNAcentral is "bacterial SSU rRNA". It matches the Rfam family "Bacterial small subunit ribosomal RNA", at positions 151 to 905 of the family's 1533-position model. The record is from RNAcentral. Lineage: Bacteria; Pseudomonadati; Bacteroidota; Flavobacteriia; Flavobacteriales; Flavobacteriaceae.